GAAUCUUGCGCAAUGGGCGAAAGCCUGACGCAGCCAUGCCGCGUGAAUGAUGAAGGUCUUAGGAUUGUAAAAUUCUUUCACCGGGGACGAUAAUGACGGUACCCGGAGAAGAAGCCCCGGCUAACUUCGUGACAGCAGCCGCGGGAAUACGAAGGGGGCUAGCGUUGCUCGGAACUACGGGGCGUAAAGGGCGCGUAGUCGGAUCGUUAAGUCAGAGGUGAAAUCCCAGGGCUCAACCCUGGAACUGCCUUUGAUACUUGCUAUCUUGCGUCUGCUAGAGGUCUGUUUCCCUCCGAGUUUAGAGGUGAAAUUCGUAGAUAUUCGGAAGAACACCAGUGGCGAAGGCGACAUACUGGCUCAUUACUGACGCUGAGGCGCGAAAGCGUGGGGAGCAAACA
RNAcentral lists this ribosomal RNA (398 nucleotides) under uncultured bacterium. Its description in RNAcentral is "partial 16S ribosomal RNA". It matches the Rfam family "Bacterial small subunit ribosomal RNA", at positions 359 to 774 of the family's 1533-position model. The record is from RNAcentral.